AUACGGAGGAUCCGAGCGUUAUCCGGAUUUAUUGGGUUUAAAGGGUGCGCAGGCGGGAGAUUAAGUCGGCGGUGAAAUUUUGCAGCUCAACUGUAAAAGGGCCUUCGAAACUGGUUUCCUUGAGUGUAGAUGAAGUAGGCGGAAUUUGGGGUGGAGCGGUGAAAUGCAUAGAUAUCACGAGGAACUCCGAUUGCGCAGGCAGCUUACUAAACUACUACUGACGCUCAGGCACGAAGGCGUGGGGAUCAAACAGGAUUAGAUACCCUGGUAGUCCACGCAGUAAACGAUGAUUACUAGCUGUUUGCGAUACAAUGUAAGCGGCUGAGCGAAAGCGUUAAGUAAUCCACCUGGGGAGUACGUUCGCAAGAAUGAAACUCAAAGGAAUUGACGGGG
Molecule: ribosomal RNA, 393 nt
Filed under: uncultured bacterium
Lineage: Bacteria
Description: partial 16S ribosomal RNA
Rfam family: Bacterial small subunit ribosomal RNA
Source: RNAcentral